Molecule: ribosomal RNA, 763 nt
Filed under: uncultured Flavobacteriales bacterium
Lineage: Bacteria; Pseudomonadati; Bacteroidota; Flavobacteriia; Flavobacteriales
Description: bacterial SSU rRNA
Rfam family: Bacterial small subunit ribosomal RNA
Source: RNAcentral
UGCAGUCGAACGAGAAAGUCACUUCGGUGACGAUUAAAGUGGCGCACGGGUGAGUAACGCUGUAGAUAAUCUGCCCUUCAGUCUGGGACAACUUUUCGAAAGGAGAGCUAAUACCGGAUGAUAACGAAUCACACAUGUGUAACGUUUAAAAGCUCCGGUGCUGAGGGAGGAGUCUGCGUCCCAUUAGCUAGUUGGUAGGGUAAUGGCUUACCAAGGCAACGAUGGGUAGCGGGUUUGAGAGGACGAUCCGCCACACUGGAACUGAGACACGGUCCAGACUCCUACGGGAGGCAGCAGUAGGGAAUAUUGCGCAAUGGAGGAAACUCUGACGCAGCCAUGCCGCGUGCAGGAAUAAGGCCCUAUGGGUUGUAAACUGCUUUUAUACGGGAAGAACUAUAUCUACGUGUAGAUAUUUGACGGUACCGUACGAAUAAGGAUCGGCUAACUCCGUGCCAGCAGCCGCGGUAAUACGGAGGAUCCAAGCGUUAUCCGGAUUUAUUGGGUUUAAAGGGUCCGCAGGCGGAAUAUUAAGUCAGUGGUGAAAUCCUACAGCUUAACUGUAGAACUGCCAUUGAUACUGGUUUUCUUGAGUGCACCUGAAGUGGGCGGAAUGUGUCAUGUAGCGGUGAAAUGCUUAGAUAUGACACAGAACACCAAUUGCGAAGGCAGCUCACUAAAGUGUAACUGACGCUGAGGGACGAAAGCGUGGGUAGCGAACAGGAUUAGAUACCCUGGUAGUCCACGCCGUAAACGAUGAUCACUA